GAUGAACGCUGGCGGCGUGCCUAAUACAUGCAAGUCGAGCGAACGGACGAGAAGCUUGCUUUUCUGAUGUUAGCGGCGGACGGGUGAGUAACACGUGGAUAACCUACCUAUAAGACUGGGAUAACUUCGGGAAACCGGAGCUAAUACCGGAUAAUAUUUUGAACCGCAUGGUUCAAAAGUGAAAGACGGUCUUGCUGUCACUUAUAGAUGGAUCCGCGCUGCAUUAGCUAGUUGGUAAGGUAACGGCUUACCAAGGCAACGAUGCAUAGCCGACCUGAGAGCGUGAUCGGCCACACUGGAACUGAGACACGGUCCAGACUCCUACGGGAGGCAGCAGUAGAGAAUCUUCCGCAAUGGGCGAAAGCCUGACGGAGCAACGCCGCGUGAGUGAUGAAGGUCUUCGGAUCGUAAAACUCUGUUAUUAGGGAAGAACAUAUGUGUAAGUAACUGUGCACAUCUUGACGGUACCUAAUCAGAAAGCCACGGCUAACUACGUG
This 497-nucleotide ribosomal RNA is filed under the name uncultured bacterium. Its description in RNAcentral is "partial 16S ribosomal RNA". It matches the Rfam family "Bacterial small subunit ribosomal RNA", at positions 28 to 507 of the family's 1533-position model. The record is from RNAcentral.